Molecule: ribosomal RNA, 169 nt
Filed under: uncultured bacterium
Lineage: Bacteria
Description: partial 16S ribosomal RNA
Rfam family: Bacterial small subunit ribosomal RNA
Source: RNAcentral
UCGCUAGUAAUCGCGAAUCAGAAUGUCGCGGUGAAUACGUUCCCGGGUCUUGUACACACCGCCCGUCACACCACGAGAGUUUACAACACCCGAAGUCAGUGGCCUAACCGCAAGGAGGGAGCUGCCUAAGGUGGGGUAGAUGAUUGGGGUGAAGUCGUAACAAGGUAGC